UUGCUUCGUAGUCAAGUUUGAGACUUUUUUUGCCCGUAACAAUCUGAGAUAUGCAUAAGCUCCUACUAAUCCUCGAAAAAGAGGAACUGGAGGUCUAAGAUUAUUUCCAUACUGGAAAAAGAACCGACGAUCCUGCUCUUCAUACCACCAGCAACAAAACUGUGUCAAUAAGUAGCUUAUAUAAUGUUAUAAAUGAAUCCAAUUUAUCAAGUCAUCAAAUCAUAAGAAACCACACAAUGUUGAUAAAUCUCACACUACAAAUUAGCUCCUUCUCACCUAUUAUUGCAUCAUGGAGUAUCUAUCUUUUUUGCUAUCUACAUAUCACAAACAUUAAUUAAUAGUCCACUUCCAGCCACAUUUUCAUAU
Molecule: long non-coding RNA, 366 nt
Filed under: Trifolium pratense (red clover)
Lineage: Eukaryota; Viridiplantae; Streptophyta; Magnoliopsida; Fabales; Fabaceae
Description: long non-coding RNA (TPRA_LNC006365)
Source: RNAcentral